UAGAGUUGAUUGAGACAGAUGGAUAUACU
RNAcentral lists this non-coding RNA (29 nucleotides) under Rattus norvegicus (Norway rat). The record is from RNAcentral. Lineage: Eukaryota; Metazoa; Chordata; Mammalia; Rodentia; Muridae.